UGAGGAAUAUUGCACAAUGGGGGAAACCCUGAUGCAGCAACGCCGCGUGAAGGAAGACGGUUUUCGGAUUGUAAACUUCUUUUCUUAGUGAAGAAGCAAGUGACGGUAGCUAAGGAAUAAGCAUCGGCUAACUACGUGCCAGCAGCCGCGGUAAUACGUAGGAUGCGAGCGUUAUCCGGAAUUACUGGGUGUAAAGGGAGCGCAGGCGGGACUGCAAGUUGGAUGUGAAAUACCGCAGCUUAACUGCGGAGCUGCAUCCAAAACUGUAGUUCUUGAGUGGAGUAGAGGCAAGCGGAAUUCCGAGUGUAGCGGUGAAAUGCGUAGAUAUUCGGAGGAACACCAGUGGCGAAGGCGGCUUGCUGGGCUCUAACUGACGCUGAGGCUCGAAAGUGUGGGGAGCAAACAGGAUUAGAUACCC
Molecule: ribosomal RNA, 418 nt
Filed under: uncultured bacterium
Lineage: Bacteria
Description: bacterial SSU rRNA
Rfam family: Bacterial small subunit ribosomal RNA
Source: RNAcentral